This 393-nucleotide ribosomal RNA is filed under the name uncultured bacterium. RNAcentral's name for it is "bacterial SSU rRNA". It matches the Rfam family "Bacterial small subunit ribosomal RNA", at positions 29 to 413 of the family's 1533-position model. The record is from RNAcentral.
AACGAACGCUGGCGGCGCGCCUAAUACAUGCAAGUCGAGCGAGAAGACGUAGCAAUACGUCUGUAAAGCGGCGAACGGGUGAGGAAUACAUGGGUAACCUACCCUCGAGUGGGGAAUAACUAGCCGAAAGGUUAGCUAAUACCGCGUACGCUCCUUGGACUUCGGUUCAGGGAGGAAAGCGAUACCGUGGGUAUCGCGCUCUUGGAUGGGCCCAUGUCCUAUCAGCUUGUUGGGAGGUAACGGCUCACCAAGGCUUCGACGGGUAGCUGGUCUGAGAGGACGAUCAGCCACACUGGCACUGCGACACGGGCCAGACUCCUACGGGAGGCAGCAGUAAGGAAUAUUGCGCAAUGGGCGAAAGCCUGACGCAGCGACGCCGCGUGGGGGAGUGAA